GCCUUCGUGGUGUAGUGGUCAGCACGCUUGACGCGUAACCGAGAGGUCCGUGGUUCGAUUCCCGGCGAUGGCU
This 73-nucleotide transfer RNA is filed under the name Stegodyphus mimosarum. It matches the Rfam family "tRNA". From Rfam's summary of the family: Transfer RNA (tRNA) molecules are approximately 80 nucleotides in length. Their secondary structure includes four short double-helical elements and three loops (D, anti-codon, and T loops). The record is from Rfam by way of RNAcentral. Lineage: Eukaryota; Metazoa; Arthropoda; Arachnida; Araneae; Eresidae.